RNAcentral lists this unclassified non-coding RNA (396 nucleotides) under Hevea brasiliensis (rubber tree). The record is from RNAcentral. Lineage: Eukaryota; Viridiplantae; Streptophyta; Magnoliopsida; Malpighiales; Euphorbiaceae.
GUGUGUGUGUGUGUGUAUUUUAAUGUUUAACACUUAAGAAGCCAAUGGAACAGAUCAAAGCAUUAUAAUCAUCAUUGAAACAUUUGUGAGUAAUUUUUAACUGUAGUUGACGUUUGUUCUGGAGGGAGAGAAAUUUGAUGCAGUGAGGGGGAAUUGUAAAUUUUACAUGAUCUUUGCGUGCCAACCCUAUUGCUAUUGGCACCUUUUGUUGCAAGAUUUAUUUACUUUUGCAUGAGAGAGAGGGAGGGAGAGAGAGAACAGGUGUCUGAGAGAUCGGGUAUUGGGGGGAGCUUUUCCUUAUUGUAAUGGAGAGGAAGAAGAGAGACACGCGGAAUUGGAGAAGUUGAUAACGGUUUCUUUGGUUUUUUGCUGCCGUUUUGGGAGAAAUAUAAUUGU